GUGGAUCACCUCUAGAGGCCAAACACUUGGGUAGCUAACGUUGAUCAAACGAAGGAACCAAACCCGGUGGAUUCAAGUUGAACGCAAGAAUUUGGAGGUAAACUUGUACCUGAGGAAGCUCGAAUCUUCAAGGGUAUGAUUCUUGUUCUUUAUCUUUUCGUUUAAUUAAUAAUUGUGCAUAAAGGAUGAUCCGGGUAUAUGGUUUGUAAAAUUUUAAAACUCUAUCUUAUCACGUUUUUGCUUACUUUGUGCAAUUUGGCUGCGUUCAUGAAUAUUACAAACCUAACAAAGAG
Molecule: long non-coding RNA, 293 nt
Filed under: Panax ginseng (ginseng)
Lineage: Eukaryota; Viridiplantae; Streptophyta; Magnoliopsida; Apiales; Araliaceae
Description: long non-coding RNA (PGIN_LNC003915)
Source: RNAcentral